This 72-nucleotide transfer RNA is filed under the name Ictidomys tridecemlineatus (thirteen-lined ground squirrel). RNAcentral describes it as "Spermophilus tridecemlineatus (thirteen-lined ground squirrel) tRNA". It matches the Rfam family "tRNA". Rfam says of the family: Transfer RNA (tRNA) molecules are approximately 80 nucleotides in length. Their secondary structure includes four short double-helical elements and three loops (D, anti-codon, and T loops). Lineage: Eukaryota; Metazoa; Chordata; Mammalia; Rodentia; Sciuridae. The record is from Rfam by way of RNAcentral.
GGUAAUAUAGCUCAGUGGUAGAGCACAUGCUUAGCAUGUGCAAAGCUUUGUGUUCCAUUCCCAGCACUACCA